This 82-nucleotide transfer RNA is filed under the name Chitinophagaceae bacterium. RNAcentral describes it as "tRNA-Tyr". It matches the Rfam family "tRNA". From Rfam's summary of the family: Transfer RNA (tRNA) molecules are approximately 80 nucleotides in length. RNAcentral also lists the same sequence under 1 other name. Lineage: Bacteria; Pseudomonadati; Bacteroidota; Chitinophagia; Chitinophagales; Chitinophagaceae. The record is from RNAcentral.
GGGGAGAUACCAGAGUGGCCAAAUGGGGCGGACUGUAAAUCCGCUGUCUUCGACUUCGAAAGUUCGAAUCUUUCUCUCCCCA